This 318-nucleotide ribosomal RNA is filed under the name Triticum aestivum (bread wheat). RNAcentral describes it as "partial small subunit ribosomal RNA". Lineage: Eukaryota; Viridiplantae; Streptophyta; Magnoliopsida; Poales; Poaceae. The record is from RNAcentral.
AUGACAAUAAGGGCUUGCUGCAGCCAGGCAGUUCUUGGGAGUAUGGUGCUUCGAUUUGGUUCCUGUGGUGAAUUUGUAGUGACACUGUUACCUUCAGAAUUUGAGAUGAACCAUUUCCAGAGCGUAUAUGGAGAGCCUAGAAGCAGCAGGGGUCCGCGGAGCAGCGGAUGCGGUCAAUGGAGUAGCAGGAUCAAGGAGCUCAAGAUGGUUCAGGUCCAUGGACAUUGCCAAAAUUUUCACUUUAUUGCAGUGUCGUAUUUUCAGAUCUCAUGUUCCUCAAGGCUUGCUCUCACUGCUGCUCUAGACAGGGAACGUUGA